GAUGAAGAACGUAGUGAAAUGCGAUAAGUAAUGUGAAUUGCAGAAUUCAGUGAAUCAUCGAAUCUUUGAACGCACAUUGCGCCCCCUGGUAUUCCGGGGGGCAUGCCUGUUCGAGCGUCAUUUCACCACUCAAGCCUCGCUUGGUAUUGGGCAACGCGGUCCGCCGCGUGCCUCAAAUCGACCGGCUGGGUCUUCUGUCCCCUAAGCGUUGUGGAAACUAUUCGCUAAAGGGUGUUCGGGAGGCUACGCCGUAAAACAACCCCAUUUCUAAGGUUGACCUCGGAUCAGGUAGGGAUACCCGCUGAACUUAAGCAUAUCAAUAAGUGGAGGA
Molecule: unclassified non-coding RNA, 331 nt
Filed under: soil metagenome
Description: partial contains 5.8S ribosomal RNA, internal transcribed spacer 2, and large subunit ribosomal RNA
Rfam family: 5.8S ribosomal RNA (bases 1-120)
Source: RNAcentral